This 543-nucleotide ribosomal RNA is filed under the name uncultured Polaromonas sp. Its description in RNAcentral is "bacterial SSU rRNA". It matches the Rfam family "Bacterial small subunit ribosomal RNA", at positions 96 to 633 of the family's 1533-position model. The record is from RNAcentral. Lineage: Bacteria; Pseudomonadati; Pseudomonadota; Betaproteobacteria; Burkholderiales; Comamonadaceae.
UGGCGAACGGGUGAGUAAUAUAUCGGAACGUGCCCAGUCGUGGGGGAUAACGUAGAGAAAUUUACGCUAAUACCGCAUACGAUCUAAGGAUGAAAGCGGGGGACUCGCAAGAGCCUCGCGCGAUUGGAGCGGCUGAUAUCAGAUUAGGUUGUUGGUGAGGUAAAAGCUCACCAAGCCGACGAUCUGUAGCUGGUUUGAGAGAACGACCAGCCACACUGGGACUGAGACACGGCCCAGACUCCUACGGGAGGCAGCAGUGGGGAAUUUUGGACAAUGGGCGAAAGCCUGAUCCAGCAAUGCCGCGUGUGGGAAGAAGGCCUUCGGGUUGUAAACCACUUUUGUACGGAACGAAACGGUCUGCCUUAAUACGGUGGGCUAAUGACGGUACCGUAAGAAUAAGCACCGGCUAACUACGUGCCAGCAGCCGCGGUAAUACGUAGGGUGCGAGCGUUAAUCGGAAUUACUGGGCGUAAAGCGUGCGCAGGCGGUUAUAUAAGACAGUUGUGAAAUCCCCGGGCUCAACCUGGGAAUUGCAUCUGUGAC